GUCCACGUAGCUCAGCAGGAUAGAGCAUUCGCCUCCUAAGCGAAAGGCCGCACGUUCAAAUCGUGUCGCGGACGCCA
RNAcentral lists this transfer RNA (77 nucleotides) under Helcococcus kunzii. RNAcentral's name for it is "tRNA-Arg". It matches the Rfam family "tRNA". From Rfam's summary of the family: Transfer RNA (tRNA) molecules are approximately 80 nucleotides in length. Their secondary structure includes four short double-helical elements and three loops (D, anti-codon, and T loops). Lineage: Bacteria; Bacillati; Bacillota; Tissierellia; Tissierellales; Peptoniphilaceae. The record is from RNAcentral.